This 253-nucleotide ribosomal RNA is filed under the name uncultured bacterium. RNAcentral's name for it is "partial 16S ribosomal RNA". It matches the Rfam family "Bacterial small subunit ribosomal RNA", at positions 524 to 776 of the family's 1533-position model. The record is from RNAcentral.
UACAGAGGGGGCAAGCGUUGUUCGGAAUUACUGGGCGUAAAGGGCGCGUAGGCGGCCUGGUAAGUAGGGGGUGAAAUCCUGCGGCUUAACCGCAGGGCUGCCUUCUAAACUGUCAGGCUUGAGCACGGUAGAGGCAGAUGGAAUUCCCGGUGUAGCGGUGGAAUGCGUAGAGAUCGGGAAGAACAUCAGUGGCGAAGGCGGUCUGCUGGGCCGUUGCUGACGCUGAGGCGCGACAGCGUGGGGAGCAAACAGG